RNAcentral lists this long non-coding RNA (1214 nucleotides) under Vulpes vulpes (red fox). RNAcentral's name for it is "lncRNA (ENSVVUG00000029506.1)". Lineage: Eukaryota; Metazoa; Chordata; Mammalia; Carnivora; Canidae. The record is from RNAcentral.
UAAAAAUCAAACUUCCAGGGACGCCUGGGUGGCUUGGUUGUGGCUGGCUCGGUCAGUGGAGCGGCGACUCUUGGUAUCGGGGUUGUGAGUUCGAGCCCUAUGUUGGGCGUAGAGAUCACUUAAAAAAAAAAUCCACUGAGUAAGUUCAAUUCAUGCUCGGGCAGGUAGAGUUGCGCUCUCAGGAGUUGUGCAAAAUGGAAGAUUUUUACAGGAAGGCAGGACAAGGAAAUUACUAGGAAGAGAAAGAAAGGCUCCUUCCAGGCAAGGUCACCUUCCCUGAGGGGAAGGGCAGAGGUCUCACUAGUGGGUCUCCCCACCUCCCUUUUGGGGGAAACAGAGUCCGUCACUGAUGCUCACCCAGAAAUUCCUCACUGGGGGUUUCUGGGCGAGGCUGGAAGCUGGUCAGGUUACAUGCGGAGCCCUGGUUUGCCGACGUGGCGGAGGGUCCCCUUUGCGGCCUGUGGCUUUCCUUCGGAUGCAUGUUCCGUCUGCCCCCCGUCAGCCAAGGCAGGUGGAAGCUGGCCUGGCCAUGCCGGGGGCGGGGCGGGGGCCUCCGGAGGGAGGCUUUGUGUGGGAGCGUCCUGGCUUUGAGACUUUGGCACAUCUUAUUGGUCUUCACGUUCGCCCAGCAAAUCCCCGCCCAGACUUUAGGGCUGGGGCUCCCCGGCUUUGUGUCCCAUGUUCCUGAUGGAGAAGCCCUGGAGGAGGGAGGACAGCCCUCCAGGCCGGGUGGGAGCGUGGGCUCCGGCCUCGGGGCUCCCGGCGUCGCCUGGCGCGGACUUACCUCCGAGACACCUCACUAGUGAGUCAGAAGCCACACCAGGCGCAGACAAGGCCCACUCAGAGGCGGGUCCCAAGGGCACCGGCACCGUGACCUGCCCGGGAGGGGUGUUCACCUGGGUGGACUUCUGCUCACGGCUCCUGGGAUCCCCUCUCUCCUGGUCUUCAGGCCUUGUUUUCCCUUUUUCCCUAGAGCUCCACGCUAAUCCUGUGCCUUUUAUGAGCCCCGCGAAGGUGACCCAUCCUCCAGGUGCAUUGACAUUUGGGGAAGAAGCCCAGGUUCUGGAGAACCCGCCCCCGCUGGCGUCCUGGGACCAGGCCAGCCCCAGCAGCCGGAGGCCUCCCCAUCUGCUUCCCUGUUGUUCUUCGCUGUCUUGGGCUCAGCAUCAGCACGGCCGUUUGAACGGGUCGUUGUGUCCCCAGCCCUAGUCCCG